RNAcentral lists this ribosomal RNA (249 nucleotides) under uncultured bacterium. RNAcentral's name for it is "partial 16S ribosomal RNA". It matches the Rfam family "Bacterial small subunit ribosomal RNA", at positions 524 to 759 of the family's 1533-position model. The record is from RNAcentral.
UACGGAGGGGCUAGCGUUGUUUCGGAAUUACUGGGGCGUAAAGCGCACGUAGGGCGGUCUUUGAUUGAAGUUAGAGGUGAAAGCCCAGGGCUUAACCCUGGAAUUGACCUUUAAGACUUGCAUCGGCUAAGAAUCGUGGAGAGGUGAGUGGGAAUUCCGAGUGUAGAGGUGAAAUUCGUAGAUAUUCGGAAGAACACAGUGGCGUAAGGCGACUCACUGGACACUGUAUUGACGCUGAGGUGGCGAAAA